GGAGAGGUGGCCGGGCCGGGCUCUGGCUUGCCGGGGUAGGGGCUCCGCUAGGGGCUGGAGUCCGUCCCUUCGCCGGCGCAGAGCCCCUCGGCCCGCAUCUGCCAAGUGACUGAGGAUCGAGCGACAGCGUAGUGGGGCGGAGGGGCUGGAGGCACGGCCGGAAAGGGUGAGCCGCGCCGUGGCUCCCCCGCUAUUUAUUUGGCCCCGCCACGCGCGGAGAGGGAGGAAAUUCUCAGGCUGCGGCUGCAGCUAGGGGAGGCCCAGGUGGGCCUGGAAUGGGCCCAGAGAGGGCUUCCUGGGUCAGACGUGUAGAUCCAGUGGACGUGAAAACCGGGUUUCGAGCUCGCCGGGCCGUGCCGCGCCAUG
Molecule: small RNA, 366 nt
Filed under: Pan troglodytes (chimpanzee)
Lineage: Eukaryota; Metazoa; Chordata; Mammalia; Primates; Hominidae
Description: processed transcript
Source: RNAcentral